GGCUUUGUAAUAUCUUCAGAAGUGAGAAGCAGAGGCUCCAAACAGGCCAAGAGAGGGCUCACUCUCUGCAUGGGACUUCACACAGCUUUCCAGGUCGCUGUGGGGUGGGGUUGGGGUGACUGUUUGUCCUCACGGUCCUCAUGGUCUAGAGGAAUGGAGGGGAGGCUGCUGGGGGAUCCGAGAGGCCAGUACUGAGGUAGGCUGUGGGCAAGCUGAGACGCCCCCAGCGCUGGAAGAGGCCGAGGGUCUCCUCUGCCCUGGGAUGAGAUUCUCCUGCCCAGAGUCCGAGCUAAAACCCUGCUAGGGUGGCACCUAGGUUGCUUGAAGGGCAGCCACAGAGCGCUUUGUCAGCCUGCAGAGACCUCAGCAGCGUGGAGGGAAGAGGAUUUUCAUUUUCCUGUUUCUUGGAUGCCUUCUCAGAUGCCCUGGAUGAGAUCCAUCCUCAUUUCCCCUGGCUCUUCCCACCUCAUUGGGACACACAAGAUAGAACAGCAGCACGGAGCAAGGCCCAUCAGAGGAUUAAAAGAAAUGACUGGUUGCAAAUGGUGACGCAAGACAUGGUGGCUCUGAUUUUAAAAGUGGCAGAGUCUUUUCUCUCUUCACUCCUUAGACGCCGUGUGGCUUCACCUUUCUCCCAGGUGCAGUGAAAUUCCUUGCCCUUUCCUGCCCCUGGCACUUGACGUGCACAGUCUUGCAGC
RNAcentral lists this long non-coding RNA (698 nucleotides) under Chinchilla lanigera (long-tailed chinchilla). RNAcentral describes it as "lncRNA (ENSCLAG00000028064.1)". Lineage: Eukaryota; Metazoa; Chordata; Mammalia; Rodentia; Chinchillidae. The record is from RNAcentral.